GCCUUUAAAUCUGAACUUACAGCACAUCCCUGAAGCAGAUCAGUUUCUGAGCAAGAGGAUAAACUUCUUCUACAAGAAAAUGGACUACAAAACGCUACCGUUGGCUGAAUGGAACGAGUCUCAUGUUAGAUGCUGGCUAGAAUCUAUUGGAAUUAAGAAAGAACAUGUAGAAAAGCUCUNUAUGUAGAAAAACUCUGUGAAGAGGAAGUGACUGGCCCAGUACUCAAAGAAUUAG
This 235-nucleotide long non-coding RNA is filed under the name Gopherus agassizii (Agassiz's desert tortoise). RNAcentral's name for it is "lncRNA (ENSGAGG00000006337.1)". The record is from RNAcentral. Lineage: Eukaryota; Metazoa; Chordata; Testudines; Testudinidae.